This 224-nucleotide long non-coding RNA is filed under the name Hordeum vulgare. RNAcentral describes it as "long non-coding RNA (HVUL_LNC009295)". Lineage: Eukaryota; Viridiplantae; Streptophyta; Magnoliopsida; Poales; Poaceae. The record is from RNAcentral.
UUCCCUGAAAUUACUGAUGAAGUCUGAAUGGUCAACCAUUAUUACAAGCACUUUAUGAUUAACACUAGCUCUGGUCACUUGCUGCAGAUCCUCAUCAUCUGUAAUUCUCACCAGGCCAUCAAAUAUUUUCUUGUCAGGCAAACACCAGUAGAUGAUGUGCUGAUUCUUAGGAUAUCCCAACCAGUUUAGGUGUUGUUCUAAUACUUCAUAACUAAAUGUGGCAG